RNAcentral lists this ribosomal RNA (186 nucleotides) under uncultured bacterium. RNAcentral describes it as "partial 16S ribosomal RNA". It matches the Rfam family "Bacterial small subunit ribosomal RNA", at positions 1315 to 1500 of the family's 1533-position model. The record is from RNAcentral.
CCCACAUGAAGUUGGAGUUGCUAGUAAUCGCGGAUCAGCAUGCCGCGGUGAAUACGUUCCCGGGCCUUGUACACACCGCCCGUCACACCAUGGGAGUUGGGAGCGCCCGAAGCCGGUGAGGUAACCGAGAGGAGCCAGCCGUCGAAGGUGAGACCAAUGACUGGGGUGAAGUCGUAACAAGGUAAC